This 253-nucleotide ribosomal RNA is filed under the name uncultured bacterium. RNAcentral describes it as "partial 16S ribosomal RNA". It matches the Rfam family "Bacterial small subunit ribosomal RNA", at positions 524 to 776 of the family's 1533-position model. The record is from RNAcentral.
UACAGAGGGUGCAAGCGUUAAUCGGAAUUACUGGGCGUAAAGCGCGCGUAGGUGGUUUGUUAAGUUGGAUGUGAAAGCCCCGGGCUCAACCUGGGGACUGCAUCCAAAACUGGCAAGCUAGAGUACGGUAGAGGGUGGUGGAAUUUCCUGUGUAGCGGUGAAAUGCGUAGAUAUAGGAAGGAACACCAGUGGCGAAGGCGACCACCUGGACUGAUACUGACACUGAGGUGCGAAAGCGUGGGGAGCAAACAGG